CCCUUCGGGGUGAGCGGCGGACGGGUUAGUAACGCGUGGGAACGUGCCCUUCUCUAAGGAAUAGCCACUGGAAACGGUGAGUAAUACCUUACACGCCCCCCAAUCAAAUUCCAUUUGGUUGACGGAAAUUCUGUUGAAUGCCGGAUGGCAUUUGAUGGGGGGGAAAGAUUUAUCGGAGAAGGAUCGGCCCGCGUUAGAUUAGAUAGUUGGUGGGGUAAUGGCCUACCAAGUCUACGAUCUAUAGCUGGUUUUAGAGGAUGAUCAGCAACACUGGGACUGAGACACGGCCCAGACUCCUACGGGAGGCAGCAGUAGGGAAUCUUGGACAAUGGGCGCAAGCCUGAUCCAGCCAUGCCGCGUGAGUGAAGAAGGCCUUAGGGUCGUAAAGCUCUUUCGCCUGUGAUGAUAAUGACAGUAGCAGGUAAAGAAACCCCGGCUAACUCCGUGCCAGCAGCCGCGGUAAUACGGAGGGGGUUAGCGUUGUUCGGAAUUACUGGGCGUAAAGCGCGCGUAGGCGGAUUGGAAAGUUAGAGGUGAAAUCCCGGGGCUCAACCCCGGAACGGCCUUUAAAACUCCCAGUCUAGAGUUCGAGAGAGGUGAGUGGAAUUCCAAGUGUAGAGGUGAAAUUCGUAGAUAUUUGGAGGAACACC
Molecule: ribosomal RNA, 650 nt
Filed under: uncultured marine bacterium
Lineage: Bacteria
Description: bacterial SSU rRNA
Rfam family: Bacterial small subunit ribosomal RNA
Source: RNAcentral